RNAcentral lists this unclassified non-coding RNA (125 nucleotides) under uncultured Archaeorhizomyces. RNAcentral describes it as "sequence contains ITS2". The record is from RNAcentral. Lineage: Eukaryota; Fungi; Ascomycota; Archaeorhizomycetes; Archaeorhizomycetales; Archaeorhizomycetaceae.
AAAACCAUAGGCCCCAUCAGGGUCUGUAUUGGGCAUCGCCCCUGGGCGUAGCCUGAAAGUCAUCGGUCUUAUACGCGGACGAGUUCCAUUAGGACGGACCGUGUCUGGACCCUUAAAUCUCUCUG